Molecule: ribosomal RNA, 440 nt
Filed under: uncultured bacterium
Lineage: Bacteria
Description: bacterial SSU rRNA
Rfam family: Bacterial small subunit ribosomal RNA
Source: RNAcentral
CCUACGGGAGGCAGCAGUGGGGAAUAUUGGACAAUGGGCGAAAGCCUGAUCCAGCAACGCCGCGUGAGGGAUGACGGCCUUCGGGUUGUAAACCUCUUUCAGCUCCGACGAAGCGCAAGUGACGGUAGGAGCAGAAGAAGCACCGGCCAACUACGUGCCAGCAGCCGCGGUAAUACGUAGGGUGCAAGCGUUGUCCGGAAUUAUUGGGCGUAAAGAGCUCGUAGGCGGUCCGUCGCGUCGGGAGUGAAAACUCGGGGCUUAACCCCGAGCGUGCUUCCGAUACGGGCGGACUAGAGGUAGGUAGGGGAGAACGGAAUUCCUGGUGUAGCGGUGGAAUGCGCAGAUAUCAGGAGGAACACCGGUGGCGAAGGCGGUUCUCUGGGCCUUACCUGACGCUGAGGAGCGAAAGUGUGGGGAGCGAACAGGAUUAGAUACCCCUG